GAGAAUGUUAUCACGGGAGACACACGGCGGGUGCUAACGUCCGUCGUGAAGAGGGAAACAACCCAGACCGCCAGCUAAGGUCCCAAAGUCAUGGUUAAGUGGGAAACGAUGUGGGAAGGCCCAGACAGCCAGGAUGUUGGCUUAGAAGCAGCCAUCAUUUAAAGAAAGCGUAAUAGCUCACUGGUCGAGUCGGCCUGCGCGGAAGAUGUAACGGGGCUAAACCAUGCACCGAAGCUGCGGCAGCGAACGUAUCACUUAAAGCGAUUCAGCGGGUUACGAUUGACGGAGCGAAGCGACGUCAAAGCGUAUACAAAGUCGAGUCGGUUUAAGGAUACGUUCGUUGGGUAGGGGAGCGUUCUGUAAGCCUGUGAAGGUGUGUCGUGAGGCAUGCUGGAGGUAUCAGAAGUGCGAAUGCUGACAUAAGUAACGAUAAAGCGGGUGAAAAGCCCGCUCGCCGGAAGACCAAGGGUUCCUGUCCAACGUUAAUCGGGGCAGGGUGAGUCGACCCCUAAGGCGAGGCCGAAAGGCGUAGUCGAUGGGAAACGGGUUAAUAUUCCCGUACUUGGUGUUACUGCGAAGGGGGGACGGAGAAGGCUAUGUUGGCCGGGCGACGGUUGUCCCGGUUUAAGCGUGUAGGCUGGUUUUCCAGGCAAAUCCGGAAAAUCAAGGCUGAGGCGUGAUGACGAGGUACUACGGUGCUGAAGCAACAAAUGCCCUGCUUCCAGGAAAAGCCUCUAAGCAUCAGGUAACAUCAAAUCGUACCCCAAACCGACACAGGUGGUCAGGUAGAGAAUACCAAGGCGCUUGAGAGAACUCGGGUGAAGGAACUAGGCAAAAUGGUGCCGUAACUUCGGGAGAAGGCACGCUGACACGUAGGUGAAGUGAUUUACUCAUGGAGCUGAAGUCAGUCGAAGAUACCAGCUGGCUGCAACUGUUUAUUAAAAACACAGCACUGUGCAAACACGAAAGUGGACGUAUACGGUGUGACGCCUGCCCGGUGCCGGAAGGUUAAUUGAUGGGGUCAGCGCAAGCGAAGCUCCUGAUCGAAGCCCCGGUAAACGGCGGCCGUAACUAUAACGGUCCUAAGGUAGCGAAAUUCCUUGUCGGGUAAGUUCCGACCUGCACGAAUGGCGUAAUGAUGGCCAGGCUGUCUCCACCCGAGACUCAGUGAAAUUGAACUCGCUGUGAAGAUGCAGUGUACCCGCGGCAAGACGGAAAGACCCCGUGAACCUUUACUAUAGCUUGACACUGAACAUUGAGCCUUGAUGUGUAGGAUAGGU
Molecule: ribosomal RNA, 1280 nt
Filed under: Salmonella enterica subsp. enterica serovar Corvallis
Lineage: Bacteria; Pseudomonadati; Pseudomonadota; Gammaproteobacteria; Enterobacterales; Enterobacteriaceae
Description: partial 23S ribosomal RNA
Rfam family: Bacterial large subunit ribosomal RNA
Source: RNAcentral